RNAcentral lists this ribosomal RNA (224 nucleotides) under uncultured bacterium. RNAcentral's name for it is "partial 16S ribosomal RNA". It matches the Rfam family "Bacterial small subunit ribosomal RNA", at positions 111 to 334 of the family's 1533-position model. The record is from RNAcentral.
UAAUGCAUCGGAACGUGUCCCGUAGUGGGGGGAGUAACCCGGCGAAAGCCGGACUAAUACCGCAUAUGCUCUACGGAGGAAAGUGGGGGACCUGAAAGGGCCUCACGCUAUGGGAGCGGCCGAUGUCCGAUUAGCUUGUUGGUGAGGUAAUGGCUCACCAAGGCGACGAUCGGUAGCUGGUCUGAGAGGAUGAUCAGCCACACUGGGACUGAGACACGGCCCAG